Molecule: ribosomal RNA, 468 nt
Filed under: uncultured bacterium
Lineage: Bacteria
Description: partial 16S ribosomal RNA
Rfam family: Bacterial small subunit ribosomal RNA
Source: RNAcentral
GACGAACGCUGGCGGCGUGCUUAACACAUGCAAGUCGAACGGAAAGGCCCUGCUUUUGUGGGGUGCUCAAGUGGCGAACGGGUGAGUAACACGUGAGUAACCUGCCCUUGACUUUGGGAUAACUUCAGGACACUGGGGCUAAUACCGGAUAGGAGCUCCUGCUGCAUGGUGGGGGUUGGAAAGUUUCGGCGGUUGGGGAUGGAAUCGCGGCUUAUCAGCUUGUUGGUGGGGUAGUGGCUUACCAAGGCGUUGACGGGUAGCCGGACUGGGAGGGUGACCGGCCACAUUGUGACUGGGAUGCGGCCCAGACUCAUACGGGAGGCAGCAGUGGGGAAUAUUGCACGAUGGGCGGAAGCCGGAUGCAGCAACGCCGCGUGCGGGAUGACGGCCUUCGGGUUGGAAACCGCUUUCGCCUGUGACGAAGCGUGAGUGACGGUAAUGGGUAAAGAAGCACCGGCUAACUACGUG